CUGAAGCCUACUCCUGUAGCAAGUAGCCAAGUUUCAGCCAAUCACAGGCAGCCAGCUGUUUAAGCUCGGUUCCGAGUCUACCACCAGCCAACAAUUCCAGUGUGUACAGGUAGGUUUCUGCUGUGAUCUUCACAUCGACACACACUGCGGUGGCUUUGAGAUCCUAGUCUCCAUCAGUGACACUGAGCAGGAGCAAUAACAACAGCAGUGGAGGGAGAUCUUGGCUACUGUGAGAAAAAUAUUGAAGUCCUACACGUGCCUCUACAACCCAAAAUGAC
Molecule: non-coding RNA, 278 nt
Organism: Microcebus murinus (gray mouse lemur)
Lineage: Eukaryota; Metazoa; Chordata; Mammalia; Primates; Cheirogaleidae
Source: RefSeq, a predicted model, not a curated record